Long non-coding RNA from Bombyx mori (domestic silkworm), 839 nucleotides. RefSeq lists it as uncharacterized. The transcript has 3 exons. The record is from RefSeq and is a predicted model, not a curated record. Lineage: Eukaryota; Metazoa; Arthropoda; Insecta; Lepidoptera; Bombycidae.
AUCAACUAGCGGGAACACGAGGAGCAAAGUUGUGUUAAUUGUUUUAUUUAGAAUCUCUUCAAAUUUAAACGUGUAAUAACGAUAGCUUAUUAAUUGUUUAGCAUACAGAUGCAGAUUUCACAGGAAAGGACAUACAUGAUGCUAUUUUUUCCCCGUGGAAGUCAAUCAUGAACAAUUUGUUAAGUGCAUAAAAAAAUUACCAAAAAAUGGUAUUUGCCUGCGGGAUUCGAACACCGCCACAGUUGCAUCGCUAGAUACGUAUGCACCGGACGUCUUAUCCUUUAGGCCACGACGACUUCAAAAGAAGGAUAACGUCAGAAAUGAUAGCCGUAUGUUAUUUAUUUCAAACGAAACAUUAGAGACAGGACGAGCCAGUUUAAGAUGAUUCAGUUUAGAUUGAACAAAGGAUUAUUUCGAAGAUCAAGAUAUCCCGUAAGGCGGGCGAAGCCGAAGUCCCCUCUGCCUACGUGACCAAGACGGCGUACGGCUGGAACACUGGCCCGGUACCUUCACCCGUACACAGAGUAAAUAAAAAAUAUCGCUAAAAUAUCACUGGCCACUUAUAAAAAAACUUCCUUAUUGAUUAUCGCUAUUUUUAACACAUUUAGGAUUUGUAAUUUAAGAUUGUAUUAGUUAAUACGUGUUCAGCGUAUGUUUUUUUGAGUUUAAAAAAAUAUCGUUAAACUAGUAAUUAUAAUGUAUUACGUGUUCUCGUUACAUGCAAAGAUAUAAGAUAGUUUUACAGCACUAGGAUUAAGCUAUUAUAUUAACCCGUCUUUUCGAUGGUUAUGCAACAAAAUUGUUGUGUAUAAUAAUAAAUUGAAGACAGACUGAAAAUA